GACGAACCGUGCGAACGUUAUUCGGAAUCACUGGGCUUAAAGGGUGCGUAGGCUGGUUGCCAAGUCUGUGGUGAAAUCCUCCGGCCUAACCGGAGAACUGCCGUGGAUACUGGCGACCUCGAGGGGGGUAGGGGCUUGCGGAACUGUGCGUGGAGCGGUGAAAUGCGUUGAUAUGCACAGGAACUCCGGUGGCGAAGGCGGCGAGCUGGACCCUUUCUGACGCUGAGGCACGAAAGCUAGGGGAGCAAACGGG
RNAcentral lists this ribosomal RNA (253 nucleotides) under uncultured bacterium. RNAcentral's name for it is "partial 16S ribosomal RNA". It matches the Rfam family "Bacterial small subunit ribosomal RNA", at positions 524 to 776 of the family's 1533-position model. The record is from RNAcentral.